UGGACGAAAGUCUGACGGAGCAACGCCGCGUGAGUGAUGAAGGCUUUCGGGUCGUAAAACUCUGUUGUUAGGGAAGAACAAGUACAAGAGUAACUGCUUGUACCUUGACGGUACCUAACCAGAAAGCCACGGCUAACUACGUGCCAGCAGCCGCGGUAAUACGUAGGUGGCAAGCGUUAUCCGGAAUUAUUGGGCGUAAAGCGCGCGCAGGCGGUUUCUUAAGUCUGAUGUGAAAGCCCACGGCUCAACCGUGGAGGGUCAUUGGAAACUGGGGAACUUGAGUGCAGAAGAGAAAAGCGGAAUUCCACGUGUAGCGGUGAAAUGCGUAGAGAUGUGGAGGAACACCAGUGGCGAAGGCGGCUUUUUGGUCUGUAACUGACGCUGAGG
This 387-nucleotide ribosomal RNA is filed under the name Salmonella enterica. RNAcentral describes it as "bacterial SSU rRNA". It matches the Rfam family "Bacterial small subunit ribosomal RNA", at positions 372 to 751 of the family's 1533-position model. Lineage: Bacteria; Pseudomonadati; Pseudomonadota; Gammaproteobacteria; Enterobacterales; Enterobacteriaceae. The record is from RNAcentral.